Molecule: long non-coding RNA, 662 nt
Filed under: Homo sapiens (human)
Lineage: Eukaryota; Metazoa; Chordata; Mammalia; Primates; Hominidae
Description: non-protein coding PCBP1-AS1:203
Source: RNAcentral
AGUUUCCUCAGUUGUGCAAUGAAGGGGAGGGUUCCAUGACCUCUGAGGCAGCCCGGCUCUCCUGUCCACGGGCUGCUACCACCUUGGAGGGCGCGAGGUUUGCUUCCGGUGUUCGGGGCCUUUCCCAGUCACUGCCUCACCAGGACACCCUCACCCGUGUCAGGCUGGGAAAGGGCUUUCUUAACCUUGUCAUGCCUUGCUGUGGCUUGUCGUUGGUGUAAUCUGUGAGGGCUUUUGUAGCUCUGCGUAAUCAUCAGGGUGAACGGGAGGUACUAGAGGACAGGCCAGACAGCCUGGAAUGACACAACUCAGGGUGACACCAACAGGUCCCACUGGCUACUUUGUCACCUCCUUUUCUUCACUCCCCCCUCUGGAGUUACUAAUUUCCACUUUGUGACCCUCCAAAGAUGCAUUCCACCCAACUUUCCCAUUGAACUAGUGGGGAAAUGGUACUUUCUGUAUCCAAAUCUUAGCUGAAACCAGAAUUGGGGUUAUAUUGACUAAAAGAUCAUUUGGGGCCACUUCUUUUCAUUUGUAUUUAUUAGGCCCCUCCUAGGUGGUAAUGGGCCAGGUAGAGUGAGAGUACAGUAGAAACCCAAGACGAAAUUAUCCAGGAAGGUCAACCUUCAUUUUACAGAUGGAGACACGAUAGUUCAGAGAUG